This 380-nucleotide ribosomal RNA is filed under the name uncultured bacterium. RNAcentral describes it as "partial 16S ribosomal RNA". It matches the Rfam family "Bacterial small subunit ribosomal RNA", at positions 338 to 734 of the family's 1533-position model. The record is from RNAcentral.
CCUACGGGUGGCAGCAGUGGGGAAUAUUGCACAAUGGGGGAAACCCUGAUGCAGCAACGCCGCGUGAAGGAAGACGGUUUUCGGAUUGUAAACUUCUGUUCUCAGUGAAGAAGAAUGACGGUAGCUAAGGAGCAAGCCACGGCUAACUACGUGCCAGCAGCCGCGGUAAUACGUAGGUGGCAAGCGUUGUCCGGAAUUACUGGGUGUAAAGGGAGCGCAGGCGGGAAGGCAAGUCAGUUGUGAAAACUACGGGCUUAACUUGUGGACUGCAUUUGAAACUGGUUGGCUGGAGUGAAGUAGAGGUAGGCGGAAUUCCGGGUGUAGCGGUGAAAUGCGUAGAUAUUCGGAGGAACACCGGUGGCGAAGGCGGCCAACUGGGC